Non-coding RNA from Pelobates cultripes (western spadefoot toad), 207 nucleotides. The record is from the annotation of a GenBank genome assembly. NCBI's taxonomy places the organism in Eukaryota, Metazoa, Chordata, Amphibia, Anura, Pelobatidae.
UGGGGAUGUAGUGUCUGUGUGUGUGCUGGGGGUGUAGUAUGUAUCUGUGUGUGCUGGGGAUGUAGUGUGUGUCUGUGUGAAUGCUGGGAAUGUAGCUUGUGUCUGUGUGUGCACUGCAGCCAAAACACUUACCUAUACACUGUGUCUGUGUAUAUGCAUGUGUGUCAGUGUUUGUAUCUGUAUCUGUAUGUGUGUCAGUGAUUGUAU